Molecule: long non-coding RNA, 2402 nt
Organism: Eucalyptus grandis
Lineage: Eukaryota; Viridiplantae; Streptophyta; Magnoliopsida; Myrtales; Myrtaceae
Exons: 2
Source: RefSeq, a predicted model, not a curated record
ACAGGUCCCACGAUGUUGAUGACUUCCUCUUUUUGUUUGGUUUCUCGGGCGUGUUUGGGUUUGGCAUUGCGGGGGUUGAUGGUUUGCGUUGAGCCGAGCGUUCUCUGUAUUCGUUGGGUUUGACUAUGUUCCUUAUCUCUAUCAGGUGGUUCUACCUUACACUUCCCAUGUGGGAUAUUAAUUGCAGCUAUUCACCAAUGUUAUUGCAGAUCAGAUUAUCCAUGUCUACAUUCAAUUUGUAUGGUUCACUCUGUAAUCACUCACUCUCUCAGGGAGCUCUCUUCUGGAUGCUCUUACUUAAAUCUUCUCCUGAUCUAAAUUUGCCUCACAAAUGAUUUUUUUUUUUUAUCUUGUUUAUUGACAUUGUGAAUUACUUGGCCUCAAAUUUCCUCAAUCCUCCCACAUGGAUUCUUCAAUGACUUUCCAAAACUUCUCAAGCGGUACCAACUUCUCCUCAGGAAGCUGGCAUUGACAAACCUUCAAACUAUAUCUGCAAGAAUCAUGAAUGUGAGAAUUUGGAUGAUGUGGAUGAUAAUUAAGAUAUUACUGUCAUCUUUUUACGCCUACUCUUUGAUUGAGAUGGUAUGCUGUUGUUUCCUUUGGCUGGUUGUAUGAUGUUAGAGCUGUGUAUAUGUUAGCUGAUGCUGAAUUUGAAGAUAAACAGUUCUCAAGACCUUGCACAGGAAUUCCUGCUUCUUGCACGGAAUUUAUGGAGCUAUUCCUGUUUAUUGUCAGUUUCUCACUUUAUCGAGCAAAUUUUUGCGAUUUUAUAUAUUAGGACAACUAUGACAAUUGUGAUUGGCAAAAUAUAGAUCAAGCAUAAUUGGGCAGAUCUUAGGACAAACUAUAUUUGGGGGAUGGUGACAGCAAAUCCAUCAUAAGUAUGGUUCCUGGCAGAUUUGAGUUGACACUUGACGAUCCUGUUGCUGGUCUGCUUGACAAUCUUCCUCCUUUACAUCUAUAUGUUCUGGGUGGAAUUUUGACAUAGGCGUGGACUUUGAUGACUUCUAUGGCUGGUCUGUUUAUUCCACUUCUCUCCAAGGGAAUUGACUUUGACUUUGCUUAAAAAAAUAAAAAAUUGCUUAUGCUAUCAUUUUUGGGGAAAAGUGAUUCACCGACUUAGUGUGGGAGAAGCAAGCUGGUACCCAGUAUCAUUCAUUUUUCAUGUGAAUUUUAGUUUGUUGGAGUAAUACAAAUAAGAAUUAUUGAAUGAAGUCUGUUUAGUUUUGUUGCCUUCUCCCCCUUUUGGAUUCAGAUUCCAGAUCCAUGUUGACCCAAAAGUUCUGUCAGGAGGCUGCAACUAUAGUGUGCGAGCUGAUCAUCACAACUGGUAACCAAUGAUGCUAUUAAACUUAUUUUUUUCACUCCACACUUGAUUUUUUUUUUCUUUUUGUUUUGGUAUGAGGACCUUGGUUCCUUUUUCCCCAUUUUAUUAUUGAGGUGAAUGUCAUAGCACUCACUCUCAUCAGCCUAGUGGCGGUUCCCCCAUCGGGUUGAAGUAUAUGAUUCUAUUUUGUCAUUCCCCAAACAAUCUUCCUCCUGUUAAAUGGCUCGGAUUACUUUGGUCUUCCCAACUUACAGAUUUUUGUUGGUCUAUUUCCUGUUAUUGAAUGUUGCAGAGUCUCUGCAAGGCAUACUUUGAUCUUCUGUCAGGGAUAUUCUGAACUAAGGGUACGGCAUAACAAUCUAAUAUAAUCACUAGCUACCAAGUUCUCUUAUUGAAACUCCAAUUAUUGUGCACAUAACAAGAUUUUAUGGAUACUCUCUUGUUCUUCUAUUGAGAAAAGGAAUCAAUUCACUAGUUCCUGUACUUUGUUUUCUAAAUUAGAAAUUUGUUAUAAUUGUUAGUCUCCAAUUGGCAUUUUGAGUACACUACAAACAAUGGAGAUUGUGUUUUUUCUUUCAAUAAAUCUUACCCGGAAACCUUGAAAAAAUAUUAAUUUUGUACAUUUGUGUAUGUAAGUGCUAUUUCCAUUCUUGUUGUUAUUAUCCGUUUUUAACAGUGUAUAUCUUCCACUAGUGUACAAAAUCUUAGUUGUUCGUUAUGUCUCUCUAACUCCAUGUUCUACUUUUUAUCUUAGAAGUCAGGAAAGAGGAUCUUUGUCCUCCAACUAUGGGAAGAGGGAAGGAUCUCGACUUCGUUUAACUUUGUGCAGCUUGGAUAUUUUUAAAGUAAAUGAUGAGGAAGGUUUUUUUGUAUAGAUCUAUUUCCUCUUCACCUUUUUCUUUGAGAUGAUAAUUUUCUAGGGCUUAUUGCUUUAGGUUGGAGGGUUUGCUGAAUUUGAGAAGUGAUGAUCGAUCCAUUGCCUUUUCUGCAAGGCUAAGUUGAUGAAUUGUGGAGACCAGGCUUUGUUAUAAAUUGGAUAAGCUCCCAUUUUUUGGAUUGAUGGUUCCAUUUAUAA